AUUGAACGCUGGCGGCAUGCCUUACACAUGCAAGUCGAACGGCAGCACGGGAGCAAUCCUGGUGGCGAGUGGCGAACGGGUGAGUAAUAUAUCGGAACGUGCCCAGUCGUGGGGGAUAACGCAGCGAAAGCUGUGCUAAUACCGCAUACGAUCUAAGGAUGAAAGCGGGGGAUCGCAAGACCUCGCGCGAUUGGAGCGGCCGAUAUCAGAUUAGCUAGUUGGUGAGGUAAAGGCUCACCAAGGCUACGAUCUGUAGCUGGUCUGAGAGGACGACCAGCCACACUGGAACUGAGACACGGUCCAGACUCCUACGGGAGGCAGCAGUGGGGAAUUUUUGGACAAUGGGCGCAAGCCUGAUCCAGCAAUGCCGCGUGCAGGAUGAAGGCCU
This 388-nucleotide ribosomal RNA is filed under the name uncultured bacterium. Its description in RNAcentral is "bacterial SSU rRNA". It matches the Rfam family "Bacterial small subunit ribosomal RNA", at positions 30 to 417 of the family's 1533-position model. The record is from RNAcentral.